Molecule: ribosomal RNA, 775 nt
Filed under: uncultured Neocallimastigales
Lineage: Eukaryota; Fungi; Neocallimastigomycota; Neocallimastigomycetes; Neocallimastigales
Description: partial large subunit ribosomal RNA
Rfam family: Eukaryotic large subunit ribosomal RNA
Source: RNAcentral
CACGCAUGACACACUGCAUAUCAAUAAGCGGAGGAAAAGAAACUAACAAGGAUUCCCUUAGUAACGGCGAGUGAAGCGGGAAGAGCUCAAAUUUGAAAUCUUCAAGGUUCUACCUUGACGAAUUGUAGUUUAUAGAAGUGUUUUCUGUUAGUAGAGUGGCAAAAGUUCUUUGGAAUAGGACAUCAUAGAGGGUGAGAAUCCCGUAUUUGGUCAUUCCUUCUAGCGUUGUGAUACACUUUCAACGAGUCGGAUUGUUUGGGAAUGCAGUCCAAAAUGGGUGGUAAAUUUCAUCUAAAGCUAAAUAUUGGCGAGAGACCGAUAGCGAACAAGUACCGUGAGGGAAAGAUGAAAAGAACUUUGAAAAGAGAGUUAAACAGUACGUGAAAUUGUCAAAAGGGAAGCGUUUGACACCAGUGUUGUUUUUCCGAAAAUCAAUUACGAAUGUUUUAUUUUUGAGGAGUUAUGACUUCAUCGGCUUGCUCCUUUCUUUACGAAACUUUCUUAAUGCACUUUUCGGUUAACAAGUCAACAUCAAUUUCUUUUGUUGUAAAAGGGUAUGAGGAAGGUGGCUUUCUUUUCGGAGAAAGUGUUUAUAGCCUUGUAGCCUCUGCAAUCGGAGAGAUUGAGGUCUGCAGCGUAGAUCCUUCGGGGUUAGAUACAGUUUGUGCUAAGUUAUAGCUUUUCAUAGACAACUUGUUGACUAUGUUAAGUCUUGUAGCUUACUCGCUUAUGCUAUUUUACCUACGCUUAGGAUGUUGAUAGUCACAGCGUGUAC